AGGGGCGGGGCCUGCAAGAAGAGUGGAGGGCGGAGGGCAGAAGGGACUGGGGAAGGGGCGAGGCCUGGAAGAAUAGAGGCAGAGGCGGGAGCGGCCGAUCUUGGCGGAUCCCGCCUCCUCGCGACUCGGCCCCCAGGUCACAUCCCUCCGUCGGUGCCCGCCACCCACUCACCGUGGGGCUCCCGUGCGGCAGGUACACCGGGUAGUCGCGAGCGGUCUGCGGCGGCAGGGACCCCACCAGCCAGGGGAGCAGCACGGCCUCGGGCGUCCCCAGCCGCCACCAACCCUCUGUUGCUGCCACCACCCGGCCGGACACCACCAGACUGACGAAGGUCGUGCCCGCGGCCUCAGCGAACCCGGAGAGGGCUUCCUGGGUACGGGAGGCAGGAGGACUGGGAGUCAGCAGACAAGCGUAGGGGGUGGCAGCGACUUCCCAGAUGGGCAGGGAAUGGGGAGAAACCCACAGCCAGCCCCGAGCUCGCGCAGUGGCCAUGCUCCUACGUCUCACCCUCUCUGAGCCUGAGUUCCUUCACUUUCAUACGAAGUCACAUCCCCAACUCACACUGUGAAGUCUGUGAAAUCUGAUUAAACAUCUAGCCUGGGCGGGCAAACUGAAGCUAA
RNAcentral lists this long non-coding RNA (621 nucleotides) under Homo sapiens (human). Its description in RNAcentral is "uncharacterized LOC105372435 (LOC105372435)". The record is from RNAcentral. Lineage: Eukaryota; Metazoa; Chordata; Mammalia; Primates; Hominidae.